GAAAAUAUAUCAAAGGCAAAGCAAGAAAGCAGGCAGAAAGACAGGUUAGAGGAAGCUUGUUGUAGUGCUUUAGAAAAAAACCAAUACCUUAACUAUGGUAUUGGCAGAAGGGAAGUUUGGUUCAAAGCGUCUGAACCAGUUAGGAGGAGAUUACCUCAGUCCUCCAGGGAAGAAAUGAUGUCAUGAACCAAGGAGGUGGAUUUAAGAGAAUUAAUCUCUCUCCAUUUCUAUCCAACAUGCCAAUUUUUCUGAAUUUUUCCUUCUAAUAUAAGACAUGUGAAUAUAAACCUGUUAGCUUUCUGGUUCCAUGGACUAGGAAAAUGUUGUCUAAUGUUAUUUUCAUUUGUGGUUAUCCUAAAUUAAGAUCUCUAUGUUAUGUGCAUUUUAAAACGUAUCUUUUAUCAACUGCUACCUGGAAGUACAUGCUUUAAAAUAAUGUAAUGGUCAGUCUGAUCCCUGGUGAGUCAACUUCUUAAAUGGAUGAGAGCAGCUGGUAGAGUAAAGAGCUUGAAGAAUGAUCCUCCUAAAAUGUAAGUCAAAUCAUCUCACUCUUCCUCAAAAUUCUUCCGUUCUCCCCAUCUUGCUCUGAGUAAAAGUCAGUCUUUACAAUGACCCACAAGACCGAGAGCAGACUCCCAACUCUCUGACCUCAAUUCAAUUCCUUCUACUCUUUCCCCGUCACUCAUUUCAGGGCAGCCACGCUCAUCUCCUUCUGAACCUCAAAGACUCGGGGGAAGCUCGCUCGGACUUUGAGCACUUGCUCUUCUUGUUUUCCCAAGUUAUCUUCCUGGCUUGUCCCCUCACCUCCCUCAAUUCAGGUCUUUUCCUUCCCUUAUCACUUUACUAAAAAAUAAAAUAUUCUUCCCACUCUCAGUACUCUCUUCACAGCUUAUAUUUUUCUUAACACUCACCACAAUCUAACAGACUUACUAUUUUACUUCUCUUGUCUAUUUUCUAUCCACAACUAGAAAGCAAGUCCUACAAUGGCAGAAGAUUUUGAUGUUUUGCUGUGUCUCUAGUACCUAGAACAGUGUCAGGCACAUGGUAGAAACUCAGUGACUAUUUGCCCAGUGAAUAAAUUGCUAUUUCAGUGUGACCAUCAGUCAUGCAAACAUGGUGUUCCAAGACCUCACCGAUUGACAAACAAAAUCAUUACCAUGGAAAGAACCCUGCAGCCAGUUAUUGUUUUUUCCACCAGGAAGCCUCUGGCAAAGUCAGAUAUAGUCUGAACUGUUUCCAUCAACACAGACUUUUGUAUAAAGCACUAUAAUCAGGGCAUGUUUUCUAAGAAAAUUAAUUUAUAGCCAAUCUUCACCUGAUCCUUAAUGACUAUCAAGCCGUAUUAAAUUCUUUAGCAUAACAGAGAAUGUGUGCUUAUUCAAAACUGCAACUUUCAAUUAUAUCCGGUAGCAACAAAAUGCUCUUUGUUCAUUACUAUAGAGAAAGGUUUUUGCUGAGAGUGAUUCCAUUGCCUUCAGUUUUAUAGUUAAACAUCUUCGAGGCUUCACUUGAAGAUGACCGUGUCAGCCAAAGCAAUCACCACAAUUAACAAAACCAAAUUACUGGGUAAUGUUUCUAAAGACUUUUUUCACGCUCUUUAGUUUUGGAAGGUUUAUAUUUCUACUUCAUUUUGUAAUACAUAAAUGAUUGCUUAUUGUUUAAAAAAAUCAAUUACUACAGACAUAGAUUGAGUUUAAAAGAACAAAUUUACCUUCAACCUUCUCACCAAUUCCACUCUCUUCCCCACAAUAACAAAAGUUAGCAGUUUGCCAUGUAUUUUGUGUACCUCUUUCUAUCCAUUUACACAAAGAUGCACCUGUAGAGUUUUAGUAUUGGAAGAUUAAAAUUUUACAUACAUAUCUGGUAAAGUACUCUCUUUACCUAACAAUGUGCAUUGAACAGUUUUCCACAUCAGUGCAUACCGAGUUCAGUGAUCGUAUUUUCAGGUUUAUCCAAUUAUUCAUAGUGCCAUCUUUCACUAUUAAAAGUAACUUCUUUUGGACAAUAAAUUAUAUGGUCCCCAAUAGAAAGUUAUCUGAUUAAUGAAUUCAUAACAGUCUAUAAAACCAUAAUUUUUAUAAUCAUUGCCUUAAAAAUGAACAUUCAGAUAUAGCCUUUUUUGGUAUCAUGAACAAGACUGCAAGGAACAUUGAUAUACAUAUAUAUUUGUGCAUGUGUAUGAAUAUAUUACAGGAUAAAUUCUGUAAGUCCAAUUGUGAGGUUAAAGGAUAUAUACAUUUAAAAUUUUAAUAUACUCUCAAAUUGUUCUCUAAAAAGCAAUAUUGUUUUAUACUUCCAUCAGUAGCAC
RNAcentral lists this long non-coding RNA (2308 nucleotides) under Homo sapiens (human). RNAcentral describes it as "non-protein coding lnc-RASSF8-3:1". Lineage: Eukaryota; Metazoa; Chordata; Mammalia; Primates; Hominidae. The record is from RNAcentral.